GGGCUGACAGCGGCCUGGCAGACUGUGCGGGACCCCUCGGGAGGCACGGUCCUGAGCACCGUUCUGGACUCGGGGCGGCUUCCAUGUCGAGAGAGCGGGCACGCCGAGUGCCCGGUCCAAGGUCACCCGGCAACGUGGCCGCUCGCCUCUGCUUCCGGGCCGGUGGCAGCCCCAGCAGUGCUUGCAGGGUGUGCCGUGAACGGGGCCCUUCCUCCAGGACCUCCCUGGCGGGCCUCGGUUUUGCCCUUGUCAGGGACGGAGGAUGGAUUCCUGCUCUGUGGGUUUCUGCCUGCCUGCGUGCUCACCCAUACCUUCACACCUCUCAGACUUCAAAGGACAGCGUUUGCGAAACCAAAACUUAGAAAAGAACGUUCGGAUCAAGUCAGGCGUGAGCACCCCAGCUCCCUGCCCUCUCAGAGUGGACCUGGAGCUGAAGGGAGCAACUGUUUGAAGAACUGGACCCUGUUUCUGUUACGGGGAGGAGGAUGCAUGGGUGGCCGCUCCCGGUCUGAAUUCCAUCCCCCACCUUUGCCUGCUGGAGCACGGUUAAGAUUUCCCAUAGUGGGUGGGCCCCGUUCACUGAUUAAUUCAGAAUACAGCCAAGUAAGGGCGGGAGAGCAGCAUGGGGGACCUCUCCCAGAAAAGGGGUAUUUGAGAAGGGGCUCUCACGGAGGGGAAAGAGACCAAAGCAGGCUCUCGGAAGCCAUGUACACCUUCCUCUGCCCUCUACCCCCCGCCCAGAGUGAGGAGUGUGUCCGUUGUGUCCGUCUGGUCUGGAUGUCAAGGGGUCUCCCAGUGUCACAGAAUCCUGGAGACAGCGUCUCUCAGCUCCCAGGAGGAAACCAGAGACUCACCUCUCCAGGAUGUAGCUACAGCUCCCACCGCCCCCUGCUGCUCCCUCUCCUAAUGGGAGUCGUCCUAUUUCCUGGCCCAGGGCCCUGAGAUUGAUUCAAUACCCACAGAAUACACCCUGGGUGCUUGAGCAGCAUCUCACCUCCUCAUCCUCUGGCUGCUUGGUGCUUCGUACGGAGCUGCACAGUCAGGCCUGUUGUCUCUGCUAAGUGAGCUUCUAUGCACCGGCCAGGCCUCAGAAAGCUUGGAGGGUGCCAGGGGAAAGGGACAGGUAGACCACUUGGCCUGCUGUCCUGUCCCUGCACCCCACUGUGUGCCUGUGUUGGAUGACUCUGGACAAGCCUGCACAGGAACCUCAGAUCAUAAGGGAUAACGAGUAACACCCACUUCCCAUACAAGAAGGGGACACAUGUGCAAACAUGUUGAUGGCACUAACGCCUGGGAUGGUUUCACCUUCCGAGUAGCAGUGAGAGAAAGUUGCAUAGGUCAUGACCCCAAGUCCCAGCCAGGUCUCCUCCUCUUUCCAGAAGAGAGGUGGACUCUUCAGGAGGGGCUGAUCAGAGGCCAGAGCGUAGGAAGUGAGAGCAACGACCCUCCUGCAGGGCCCAGGGGCCCUGAGUCGGGCAGGUUCACAGCCCUCUCCCACAGAGUCUCCAGGUGCUCCGGCAUGGGCUGCUCACCCUCUGUGAGUUGUUCCAGGGCUUGGAAAGGCAGUCUGUGUCCAAUACAAAUAAAAUAUGAGCCAAUUUAUCA
This 1605-nucleotide long non-coding RNA is filed under the name Oryctolagus cuniculus (rabbit). RNAcentral's name for it is "lncRNA (ENSOCUG00000031128.1)". The record is from RNAcentral. Lineage: Eukaryota; Metazoa; Chordata; Mammalia; Lagomorpha; Leporidae.